GACGAACGCUGGCGGCGUGCUUAACACAUGCAAGUCGAACGGAAAGGCCCCAGCUUGCUGGGGUACUCGAGUGGCGAACGGGUGAGUAACACGUGGGUGAUCUGCCCUGCACUCGGGGAUAAGCCUGGGAAACUGGGUCUAAUACCGGAUAGGACCGUGCUUUAGUGUGUGCGGUGGAAAGUUUUUCGGUGCAGGAUGAGCCCGCGGCCUAUCAGCUAGUUGGUGGGGUAAUGGCCUACCAAGGCGGCGACGAGUAGCCGGCCUGAGAGGGUGUACGGCCAACAUGGGAACGAGACAGGGCGCAGACGGCCACGGGAGGCCGCAGGGGGGAAUCUUGCGCAAUGGGGGGGAGUCCGGCGGCGCAACGCCGCGGGAGGGAUGAAGGCCUUCGGGGUGUAAAGCUACGUUAAUCGGGACGAAAGGCCUUAUUGCGAAUAGAGAGAAGGAUUGACGGUACCGGAAUAGAAAGCCACGGCUAACUACGUG
This 486-nucleotide ribosomal RNA is filed under the name uncultured bacterium. Its description in RNAcentral is "partial 16S ribosomal RNA". It matches the Rfam family "Bacterial small subunit ribosomal RNA", at positions 28 to 507 of the family's 1533-position model. The record is from RNAcentral.